GAUGAACGCUGGCGGCGUGCUUAACACAUGCAAGUCGAACGGAAAGGCCACAGCGUGCUGUGGUACUCGAGUGGCGAACGGGUGAGUAACACGUGGGUGAUCUGCCCUGUACUUUGGGAUAAGCUUGGGUAACUGGGUCUAAUACAGGAUAGGAAUCACAUGUGGGUGUGUGGUUGGAAAGCUUCUGCGGUAUGGGAUGGGCUCGCGGCCUAUCAGCUUGUUGGAGGGGUAAUGGCCUACCAAGGCGUCGACGGGUAGCCGGCCUGAGAGGGUGUACGGCCACAGUGGUACUAAGGGACGGCCCAGACGCCUACGUUGGACAGCAGUGGCGAAUAUUACACAAUGAGCGCGAGCCUGAUGCGGCGACCCCGCGGUGGUGAUGACGGCCUUCGGGUUGUAAACUCCUUUCGUCAAGGACGAAGCGGUAGUGACGGUACCUGGAUAAGAAGCACCGGCUAACUACGUG
RNAcentral lists this ribosomal RNA (466 nucleotides) under uncultured bacterium. RNAcentral's name for it is "partial 16S ribosomal RNA". It matches the Rfam family "Bacterial small subunit ribosomal RNA", at positions 28 to 507 of the family's 1533-position model. The record is from RNAcentral.